GCCACGGUAGUUUAAAUAAAAACAUUAGCCUGUGGUGCUAAAAAUGGAAUAUAAUCCCCGCAGCU
RNAcentral lists this transfer RNA (65 nucleotides) under Trioceros hoehnelii. RNAcentral describes it as "tRNA-His". The record is from RNAcentral. Lineage: Eukaryota; Metazoa; Chordata; Lepidosauria; Squamata; Chamaeleonidae.